This 497-nucleotide ribosomal RNA is filed under the name uncultured bacterium. RNAcentral's name for it is "partial 16S ribosomal RNA". It matches the Rfam family "Bacterial small subunit ribosomal RNA", at positions 28 to 507 of the family's 1533-position model. The record is from RNAcentral.
GAUGAACGCUGGCGGCGUGCCUAAUACAUGCAAGUCGAGUGAACGGACGAGAAGCUUGCUUUUCUGAUGUUAGCGGCGGACGGGUGAGUAACACGUGGAUAACCUACCUAUAAGACUGGGAUAACUUCGGGAAACCGGAGCUAAUACCGGAUAAUAUUUUGAACCGCAUGGUUCAAAAGUGAAAGACGGUCUUGCUGUCACUUAUAGAUGGAUCCGCGCUGCAUUAGCUAGUUGGUAAGGUAACGGCUUACCAAGGCAACGAUGCAUAGCCGACCUGAGAGGGUGAUCGGCCACACUGGAACUGAGACACGGUCCAGACUCCCACGGGAGGCAGCAGUAGGGAAUCUUCCGCAAUGGGCGAAAGCCUGACGGAGCAACGCCGCGUGAGUGAUGAAGGUCUUCGGAUCGUAAAACUCUGUUAUUAGGGAAGAACAUAUGUGUAAGUAACUGUGCACAUCUUGACGGUACCUAAUCAGAAAGCCACGGCUAACUACGUG